CUGAAAUUACUUCAUUGCUUUAAAUUUGUAACACUGAAUUACAAUUUCUGUUUUACCUCCAGCUUUUCUAGGUAUGUUUGAGGUUUCCCAAGACUAGAACAAUCAUUUAAUUAAAAAAUAGCCUGGGCUUUCAGGAGCACUGCUGAGAUGCUGGAUGCAGCUGGCCGCUGCCAGGGAAGCUCUCUGGCUCUCCUCAUUGUUUCAGGUGGUGUGCUGGCCUCUCUGGAGCCAUGGUCCUCACACAGCCAGCAUCACUGUUACUGCUGUUCAUCUCCAGAACCUCAUCUCCACACAGACAAGCUCAGAGGAGGGACUUCCCAGCGCUGGAGCCUGAAGCAGGCACCAUGACAUGAGCCAGCUGAUGCUGAAGCAUUGAGGAGCUGGGGUUUCUCCUUUCUUCCUUUUUGAUGCCUUGCCAAUGAGGCAAUCUCUGUCACCACCUCUUAUUCUGCUGUUCUUUGAUUCUCCAGAUCUGGAAGUACCUCUAAGACUUGGCCAAGCUGGACAGAAAAUGAACAGAAGGAGAGCCAAGGAUUUCUUCAGGGGGGUUGCCAAGGAAGGAUGCUGACAUGCAUGAGGCAAAGGCUGUGGUUUGGAGGUGUUGCUCAGAACCCAGAAACAUGGGGACCAGUAGUACCAGAAAGACUGACAUAACAGGAAAAAUCAGCACUUCACGUAUUUUUCCAAACUCAUGCUUUCUGUGGUAUUUCCACAUCACUACACAGAGCUCUUGCUGACAUUGUCGUUUUGUAAGUAUUGCCGUGUAUGCCAUCAUCUCAGGGCUACUCUGAUGAGCUGUCACCACAUGAUAAAAUAAGUCUGUCGCUGUGUUUGCUGCUUUGCAGUGUUGUAUCUUGCUGUGGUUUGUGUCAUGUAGAGGCAUUAAUUCCAUUGCAUAGUGUAAAUACACCAUCGUCACACGCUCCCUGAGAAGGAGGACCAGGAUACAUGGAAGACAGCCUGUAAAGUCCUGGCUUGGGCAAAAUGUAACUGCACUCCGUUCCAGCUGAGGACUCAUCUACCUCAACAUGUUUUGUGCAAGCUUGUUCUUAUCUGGUUUGAAUCUCUACCUCUGUGCUGCCUUGAAGCCCACACUGAAGCUUUCAGUAUUGCACUCAGAUGGAAAGCAAAGCCCAACUAGGACUGACUCUGUGGACGACUUUUCUCUCAAUCAGGGCAGUCCGUGCAUCUAGGGAACAAAGGAGGUCGUCAUAUGAAAAGACACAGACAGGAAUGCUGCCAAAAAAAAAAGAGAUUUAUAAGAUUGGGGCCUGCAGUGGUUUGUGCUUGCAGGUGAGCUUCAAGUAGAGUAGGGCAGGGUCACAACUUUUGAGAUCAGGAGACCCACUGAGGAACUGUGCAGUGUUGAGGAAGGCCUAUCGUUUUUGUUACACUCAUCCAGACGGGAGAACUGGAGCUGUGCAUCUGUGGAUGCGGCUGUGCACUUACAGGCAUCCCAGUGGCACCAUCACAUCUGCUGCCAUGCUAACCAGGCCACCUGGAAACAGACGGAGGGACCUUCUGCACCAAUGUCAGGGGUGGGAGCCUGAGUACUCUUUGCAGGUGGGUCCCAGCUGUGAAUGGGGACACAACCUUUCCUCACUUGUGAGGACUCAGUGUGCCUCUUCCAGCCUGUGGAAGAGAGAACUGCCUCCUGGCUUUGACAGCUGUCAGGCAGCUCAGGCACCUCCCUGCUCUCCCAGUGCCAGCAUUGUCUGCUACCUGUGUAUUUCAUCCUGGACAGGCCAGGUUUGAUGGACCUGAGAAGAAAUUAACUGUACGCUGGCUGAAACUGGGACACCAGGUUUUUAAUAAACCCUAUUAGCUUAGUCUUUUAUUAUCAGGUUGAUUCUUUUCUGAAAAGUCAAGGCUGGCAUUUUUUGGUACAGAGAUGGUUGGUUCAGCUGCCAGAACCUCGGAGAUGGCUGCAGUGCUAAAGGAGAUCCCAAGCGAUGCUCACCCAGCCUGAUUUUUUGUCCCAUCCGGGUAUCAGGUGGUACAGGAUAAUCCCUCUGCUCCAGAUACCCGUGUGAGUGAAAAAAGGAGCUGAUUUGGGUACUCAAGCAGUUAUUUAAUGUGAAGGGUCUGGACUGCAGAAACAGGGGUAGUUUUUUGUUGAGGGGACUGUGCCAAGCAGUUUGUCAUGACCAUUACACAGACCACCACUGACUCUGCAGUCGUUUUCCCACAUACAGCUCCUAAAAUGGACCUGUCCUUAAGUUAUGAUGAUGCCUUGUUUAGCAGAUUGAUGGGCCACAACUGGCUCCCAAGGUAUGCUGGCAGUUCAGGGACAAGACAGGUGCAGGAGGAGCAACUGCAUGCACCAGGAUAUGGACCAAGGCUUUUCCAAAAUUAAUGUAGUCAUGUGCACAGAAGCACAAGCUAUGAGAAGGAAAGUGGUGUCAGUGUGGGCCUUUGUCACUCUUGUUUGAGUGAGGAUGAUAGUGGAGGAGCAGGCAUGACAUCAGUGUGGGCCCACACCUGCUGCCACAGCUGCCUGGGGCUGCGCCCCAUGCCAGGGGUUGUGGGCUGGAAGAUUUCCCCCGGCUCACAGGUGUUGUCUGUGCCGUUGUGGCUGCCUGUCUACUGUCUGUCAGUAACAGCGUGAUGCUGGCAUGACUGACACACAGAAAACCCCUCCUCCAGCACCAGGCAUCCCACGGAGGGUCUUCACCACAGGGAGCCCUUCCCACAGCCCAGUGCCCCUCUGUGCCUGUCCCCAGCAAGGCCAGUGCAGACAAACAAACCGGGACUGCAGCCAGUGGCAGCUGUAGGACCUCAAGGCCUUUUUGACCUGCCACUAGCAGACAGUAGAGCAAUUUCUAUAAACACAAGACUUCUGUGUACAUAUUUUAACAGCAUUUUUCUUUCAGGACGUUCUGUCAUCUCUGCAACAUGCUUUUAGUUCCACCCUAAAUUUCCUGGGCUUUUCACUCCCUCUUCUCAUCUCCUUGAGCCAAAAAAAAAGGGUCAUUUUGGUGAGAAACAUUUUCAGUGGUUUUCUCAGAAGCAUCUGCUCUCUGCACUCUGUGGGAUUAUGCAGUUCAAGGCUGGUUUGUUCUCCUAGGAAAUUACUUUUUCACCCCCUUCCCAAACUUACCUUCUAGAUCAACAUUCAGAACUUCUUUGGGCUCUGACUUCCAGAAUCUAUUGGUAUCCUGAACUGCCCUCCCAAUAAAAUUAGUUCUGAAUUAUC
This is a long non-coding RNA of Corvus hawaiiensis (hawaiian crow), 3196 nucleotides long. RefSeq lists it as uncharacterized. Lineage: Eukaryota; Metazoa; Chordata; Aves; Passeriformes; Corvidae. The transcript has 2 exons. The record is from RefSeq and is a predicted model, not a curated record.